Molecule: ribosomal RNA, 484 nt
Filed under: uncultured bacterium
Lineage: Bacteria
Description: partial 16S ribosomal RNA
Rfam family: Bacterial small subunit ribosomal RNA
Source: RNAcentral
AUUGAACGCUGGCGGCAGGCCUAACACAUGCAAGUCGAGCGGAGGAAGGGAGCUUGCUCCUGGAUUCAGCGGCGGACGGGUGAGUAAUGCCUAGGAAUCUGCCUGGUAGUGGGGGAUAACGUCCGGAAACGGGCGCUAAUACCGCACACGUCCUGAGGGAGAAAGUGGGGGAUCUUCGGACCUCACGCUAUCAGAUGAGCCUAGGUCGGAUUAGCUAGUUGGUGGGGUAAGGGCCUACCAAGGCGACGAUCCGUAACUGGUCUGAGAGGAUGAUCAGUCACACUGGAACUGAGACACGGUCCAGACUCCUACGGGAGGCAGCAGUGGGGAAUAUUGGACAAUGGGCGAAAGCCUGAUCCAGCCAUGCCGCGUGUGUGAAGAAGGUCUUCGGAUUGUAAAGCACUUUAAGUUGGGAGGAAGGGCAGUAAGUUAAUACCUUGCUGUUUUGACGUUACCAACAGAAUAAGCACCGGCUAACUUCGUG